GUUGUAUGGUUAAGUGACUAAGCGUACACGGUGGAUGCCUUGGCAGUCAGAGGCGAUGAAAGACGUAGUAACUUGCGAUAAGCCCAGAUUAGGUAGUAACAACCAUUUGAGUCUGGGAUUUCUGAAUGGGGAAACCCACGUGCAUAAGCACGUAUCGUUAUGUGAAUACAUAGCAUAACGAGGCGAACCGGGGGAACUGAAACAUCUAAGUACCCCGAGGAAAAGAAAUCAACCGAGAUUCCGAAAGUAGCGGCGAGCGAAAUUGGACUAGCCCUUAAGCUUUACACGCGUUAGACGAACGGUCUGGAAAGUCCGACGAUACAGGGUGAUAGUCCCGUAGUUGACGACGUGUGUUCAGUGAAAUCGAGUAGGGCGGGACACGUGAUAUCCUGUCUGAAUAUGGGGGGACCAUCCUCCAAGGCUAAAUACUACUGACUGACCGAUAGUGAACCAGUACCGUGAGGGAAAGGCGAAAAGAACCCCUGUGAGGGGAGUGAAAUAGAACCUGAAACCGUGUACGUACAAGCAGUAGGAGCAGGCUUUGUCCUGUGACUGCGUACCUUUUGUAUAAUGGGUCAGCGACUUAUAUUCAGUGGCAAGGUUAACCAUCUAGGGGAGCCGUAGGGAAACCGAGUCUUAACUGGGCGUUCAGUCUCUGGAUAUAGACCCGAAACCAGGUGAUCUAGCCAUGGGCAGGUUGAAGGUUGAGUAACAUCAACUGGAGGACCGAACCGACUAAUGUUGAAAAAUUAGCGGAUGACUUGUGGCUAGGGGUGAAAGGCCAAUCAAACCUGGAGAUAGCUGGUUCUCCCCGAAAGCUAUUUAGGUAGCGCCUCGGACGAAUACUACUGGGGGUAGAGCACUGUUAAGGCUAGGGGGUCAUCCCGACUUACCAACCCUUUGCAAACUCCGAAUACCAGUAAGUACUAUCCGGGAGACACACGGCGGGUGCUAACGUCCGUCGUGGAGAGGGAAACAACCCAGACCGCCAGCUAAGGUCCCAAAUUACUACUAAGUGGGAAACGAUGUGGGAAGGCUCAGACAGCCAGGAUGUUGGCUUAGAAGCAGCCAUCAUUUAAAGAAAGCGUAAUAGCUCACUGGUCGAGUCGGCCUGCGCGGAAGAUGUAACGGGGCUAAGUAGUAAACCGAAGCUGCGGCAAUAUACUUUUGUAUAUUGGGUAGGGGAGCGUUCUGUAAGCGGUUGAAGGUGUGUGGUAACGCAUGCUGGACGUAUCAGAAGUGCGAAUGCUGACAUGAGUAACGAUAAAGGGGGUGAAAAACCUCCUCGCCGGAAGACCAAGGGUUCCUGUCCAACGUUAAUCGGGGCAGGGUAAGUCGACCCCUAAGGCGAGGCCGAAAGGCGUAGUCGAUGGGAAACGGGUUAAUAUUCCCGUACUUCUUACAAUUGCGAUGGGGGGACGGAGAAGGCUAGGUGGGCCUGGCGACGGUUGUCCAGGUUCAAGUGCGUAGGCUUAAGAGUUAGGUAAAUCCGGCUCUUUUUAAGGCUGAGACACGACGUCGAGCCACUACGGUGGUGAAGUCAUUGAUGCCAUGCUUCCAGGAAAAGCCUCUAAGCUUCAGAUUGUAAGGAAUCGUACCCCAAACCGACACAGGUGGUCGGGUAGAGAAUACCAAGGCGCUUGAGAGAACUCGGGUGAAGGAACUAGGCAAAAUGGUACCGUAACUUCGGGAGAAGGUACGCUCUUGACGGUGAAGUCCCUCGCGGAUGGAGCUAUUGAGAGUCGCAGAUACCAGGUGGCUGCAACUGUUUAUUAAAAACACAGCACUGUGCAAAAUCGUAAGAUGACGUAUACGG
This 1816-nucleotide ribosomal RNA is filed under the name Vibrio parahaemolyticus 1911C. Its description in RNAcentral is "bacterial LSU rRNA". It matches the Rfam family "Bacterial large subunit ribosomal RNA", at positions 1 to 1850 of the family's 2925-position model. Lineage: Bacteria; Pseudomonadati; Pseudomonadota; Gammaproteobacteria; Vibrionales; Vibrionaceae. The record is from RNAcentral.